GACGAACGCUGGCGGCGUGCUUAACACAUGCAAGUCGUACGGUAAGGCCCUUUCGGGGGUACACGAGUGGCGAACGGGUGAGUAACACGUGAGUAACCUGCCCACAACUUUGGGAUAACGCUAGGAAACUGGUGCUAAUACUGGAUAUGUGCUCCUGCUGCAUGGUGGGGGUUGGAAAGCUCCGGCGGUUGUGGAUGGACUCGCGGCCUGUCAGCUUGUUGGUGGGGUAGUGGCCUACCAAGGCGGCGACGGGUAGCCGGCCUGAGAGGGUGACCGGCCACAUUGGGACUGAGAUACGGCCCAGACUCCUACGGGAGGCAGCAGUGGGGAAUAUUGCACAAUGGGCGCAAGCCUGAUGCAGCAACGCCGCGUGCGGGAUGACGGCCUUCGGGUUGUAAACCGCUUUCAGCAGGGACGAAGCUUUUUGUGACGGUACCUGCAGAAGAAGCACCGGCUAACUACAUG
This 465-nucleotide ribosomal RNA is filed under the name uncultured bacterium. RNAcentral describes it as "partial 16S ribosomal RNA". It matches the Rfam family "Bacterial small subunit ribosomal RNA", at positions 28 to 507 of the family's 1533-position model. The record is from RNAcentral.